GGAAACCUUACUAGGGUAAGACAUUGGUAUGAUUGACAGAUUGAUAGCUCUUUCUUGAUUUUAUGGGUGGUGGUGCAUGGCCGUUCUUAGUUCGUGGAGUGAUUUGUCUGCUUAAUUGCGUUAACGAACGAGACCUUAACCUGCUAAAUAGGAGCGCCUAUCUCUGAUAAGCGUCUUUCUUCUUAGAGGGACUUUAUGCGUUUCAGCAUGAGGAAGUUUGAGGCUAAAA
Molecule: ribosomal RNA, 229 nt
Filed under: uncultured eukaryote
Lineage: Eukaryota
Description: partial 18S ribosomal RNA
Rfam family: Eukaryotic small subunit ribosomal RNA
Source: RNAcentral